CCCAUUUUAACCAAAACCGAAAGUAGCGAAACACUGCAACUUGCAACCCAGCACUGGUUUUAUGUUGCUAGCUUAUCAUUAGCAUACAUUUGAUUUUUAGAUUGGUUGAUGGGUCUUUUGUUGAAGCAGCAUAUGGAAAACGUAAACGUGGGUGGGGUACAUGUCAAAAAUUGUCAAAGGCUUUGAAAGUUUGUUAUUGUUAACUAAAACUGAGACAUCAAUGACAGCAAUGUAAAUGAUGUAAUCAUCUUUAAUUUUUAGGAAAUCAGCAAUAUUUCAAACAGCCACUACAUAGACACACAGCAGGACCUUUUUGACAGCCCAGCCAAGUCGAACACCUGCUUCAGCCAGCAGUCCACCCAGCCACCCAGUGACCCCAGCUCUUCAGACUCUAGCUGUCCACCCAGUCCUGUUUUUGGGAAGAGGCUACGACUUUUGCAGCCACAGAUUGUGAUGACAGGAUUUCCUGGGUCAGGUUCAAUUUAAAAUAUGACAGUGAUCGGGCGAUAUAUAGCUACGAGCUAAUGGUGGACUACAAGAACAGGACCUUAGGUUUCUUUUAUAGACAACAGUUCCCGGAUUUCCUGCCUGAUGAUCCUGCUGUAUGUUUUAUGUGAGCAUAAUGGAAGUAAACUGUGAAGUAAACUGUUGGAAUGUUUUAGUUCAUCUUGUUUUAUUUGAUAGUAUUGUUGGAAAAAUUAAAUAAGUCAUUAAUGAUUGCUAAAAAAAUUUGAAUCCGCAAAAUGUAUAUAACAGAACGGUAGUGUAUAAGACAGCACAAU
Long non-coding RNA from Dreissena polymorpha, 782 nucleotides. RefSeq lists it as uncharacterized. Lineage: Eukaryota; Metazoa; Mollusca; Bivalvia; Myida; Dreissenidae. The record is from RefSeq and is a predicted model, not a curated record. The transcript has 4 exons.